UAGUCCACGCCGUAAACGAUGUGUGCUAGUUGUCGGGCUCUAAGAGUUCGGUGACGCCGCUAACGCAUUAAGCACACCGCCUGGGGAGUACGGCCGCAAGGUUAAAACUCAAAGGAAUUGACGGGGACCCGCACAAGCGGUGGAGCAUGUUCUUUAAUUCGAAGCAACGCGAAGAACCUUACCUACACUUGACAUACUCGUCGGGAAUUUCAGAGAUGAUUUCCUUCAGUUCGGCUGGACGAUGUACAGGUGCUGCAUGGCUGUCGUCAGCUCGUGUCGUGAGAUGUUGGGUUAAGUCCCGCAACGAGCGCAACCCUCAUCCUUAGUUGCCAUCACGUUUGGGUGGGCACUCUAGGGAAACUGCCGGUGCUAAGCCGGAGGAAGGCGGGGAUGACGUCAAGUCCUCACGGCCCUUACGCGUAGGGCUACACACGUGCUACAAUGGCAGUGACAAUGGGAUAAUCCCCAAAAGCUGUCUCAGUUCGGAUUGUCGGCUGCAACUCGCCGGCA
This 510-nucleotide ribosomal RNA is filed under the name uncultured bacterium. RNAcentral's name for it is "bacterial SSU rRNA". It matches the Rfam family "Bacterial small subunit ribosomal RNA", at positions 791 to 1320 of the family's 1533-position model. The record is from RNAcentral.